Molecule: ribosomal RNA, 548 nt
Filed under: uncultured Glomeraceae
Lineage: Eukaryota; Fungi; Glomeromycota; Glomeromycetes; Glomerales; Glomeraceae
Description: SSU rRNA
Rfam family: Eukaryotic small subunit ribosomal RNA
Source: RNAcentral
UUGGAGGGCAAGUCUGGUGCCAGCAGCCGCGGUAAUUCCAGCUCCAAUAGCGUAUAUUAAAGUUGUUGCAGUUAAAAAGCUCGUAGUUGAAUUUCGGGAUCAAUACGUCGGUCGUGCUUAGGUACGUACUGGCGUAAUUGAUUUCUCCCUUCUGACGAACCAUGAUGUCAUUAACUUGGUGUCAUGGGAAAUCAGGACUGUUACUUUGAAAAAAUUAGAGUGUUUAAAGCAGGCUCACGCUUGAAUACAUUAGCAUGGAAUAAUGAAAUAGGACGUUCGAUCCUAUUUUGUUGGUUUUUAGGAUCAACGUAAUGAUUAAUAGGGAUAGCUGGGGGCAUUAGUAUUCAAUUGUCAGAGGUGAAAUUCUUGGAUUUAUUGAAGACUAACUACUGCGAAAGCAUUUGCCAAGGAUGUUUUCAUUAAUCAAGAACGAAAGUUAGGGGAUCGAAGACGAUCAGAUACCGUCGUAGUCUUAACCAUAAACUAUGCCGACUAGGGAUCGGAUGAUGUUAAUUUUUUAAUGACUCAUUCGGCGCCUUACGGGAAAC